UACGGAGGAUGCAAGCGUUAUCCGGAAUGAUUGGGCGUAAAGCGUCCGCAGGUGGCUAUGUAAGUCUGCUGUUAAAGAGUGAGGCUCAACCUCAUAAGAGCAGUGGAAACUACAUGGCUAGAGUGCGUUCGGGGCAGAGGGAAUUCCUGGUGUAGCGGUGAAAUGCGUAGAGAUCAGGAAGAACACCGGUGGCGAAAGCGCUCUGCUAGGCCGCAACUGACACUGAGGGACGAAAGCCAGGGGAGCGAACGGG
This 253-nucleotide ribosomal RNA is filed under the name uncultured bacterium. Its description in RNAcentral is "partial 16S ribosomal RNA". It matches the Rfam family "Bacterial small subunit ribosomal RNA", at positions 524 to 776 of the family's 1533-position model. The record is from RNAcentral.